CAAACCUGCCCAAACGCACAUCGGCACAAACACACACACACGCACAGGGCGAAGCUGCUGCGCCCUCCCUUCCAUGGGCAGAAAAGCCCGCGCACGCAAACAAAACGCAAGGGAAAGAUUUCAGUCGUUCAACUACGUCUGCGGGAAGUCGCUAGUGCUCUCUCCUGGGGCAUUUCUUUUUCUUAAACUUGGACCUGUGUCACAGGCGUCACCCUCCUACUAACGCUGCACAGCUGGAAUGCACUCUGGGCAUGUGCAUGUGGCGCCACCAAUCCGUACCGGGCAUCUACACUGAACCUGAGCCCUUGUUGACGUCUUAUCUUACCCCUUCUCUUUCUUUCCUCGCAGAAAACAGCACAUCUUUUUAUACAGCUUAGAUACUUGAUGCACGCACACACAUACACACACCAUCUCUCGCUUCUUGUGUCUCGUUGAUCUGGUACCUCCCUAGAAUAGAUUGGCCCGCGGUGCGGUGCGGCUGUGCAUAAUACAUACAUACACGUAUAUAUAUAUAUAUAUAUUGUUUCUCCUCUGAAACGAGUUUCUGUUCUCGUUGACCGCCGCCGUUUUAUGGCCGGCAUGUGCGCACGCAUUCGCACACUCCAUCUUUCUUCUUCCUUGGUGCAACCCUUACGCACACCUUCGCUGCAGUGUGUGUAGAGGAUUUCCCCUCCCACACCCAUACACGUACGCAUACACGCACACACACGCACACACACACACACACAGCAACGGAAGCGCAAGCAUGCCAUCGUGCGUCUUUACCCGCACCCAGGUGCUGGAAAGCCUCUCCGACGAAGUUGCUCGUCAGGAGGCGGAGUCGAUUCCAGAGUUCAUCUACUUUUUUCUGCGGGAUGUCUUCCUCGCCGUUGACGAGGACGGCGACGGCUACGUGACGGGCGAUGCUGUAUCACGCCUGUUCCCGGCCCUUGCGCCUGUGAGGGCAACAAAGGAUGCUGCCUCGUGCUCUGCAGCCUCCAGCCUCAUGACGCCGACGGUGCAUCCGACGUGGUGGAGUCCGACGUCGUAUGUCGCCCCCACGCGGUGCGCCGCCGCUGCCCAGCAGCGCCCUUUGGACUUGUGCGGUUUCAUGCAGACGUACUGGCCGAUGGUGAGCGAUAAGAUGGCACACUUCGUGGGUGACACAUGGAGUCAGCAUAGCAGCGACAACCUCAGUGGCUCUCGAAGACAAUGCGCAUCGGUGGUUCACCAGCCCAUCCUCACUCCCUCUCCGUCUCGCGACGUCUCGGCGUCGCCGCUGCGGGCACAACCGACCAGCCCUCCCGCUUCUUUCGUUACUGGCGGCCGCUUAGCCCCGUCGCCUGUUUGUGGGUCGGGCCCACUGACGGAGAGAGAGACGGUUUCCCCGGAGCAGCACCGCCUCUACCGUGAGGCUGUUCGGUGUCUGUGGACGAGCGGCUGCCCGCUGUUACCACAUGCCUUCACUCCCCCUGCGCCGUCUGUACCAUGUCCAAUGCUGCUGCCUUGUCCGCAGCGCCUUCUGACGGAGAGCGACAUGGAGGAGCUGUUGGUGGCCUUUUCCUACCUGGACAGAAACCAGAGCGGGUUCGUGGGCGUGGCGGACGUGGCCGCUGCACUGCAGUCGCUCCUUUGCAGAGCCGCGCGCGCUGGCCAGGGCAUUGUCUCUAUUGACACACCAGCAGAGGUGAGUGACGAGGUUCUGCAGCUUGCAAAUGCGAUGCUGCGCGUGGCCUUGUCCUUGACCACCACAACAGGCGAAGCUGCUGCCACACAGGGUGUGCCUGCCUCUUCCGCACCUUCUUCCUCUAGCGGCCCUCCGGCUGUGCCCUCGUCGUCCCGAAGCGGUCCCUGCGUGAGCUGGACGGCGUUCGCGCGUUCGUUCCAGUGCGACACGGGCGCCUUUCCAGCAGAACUCAUCGCGUGGUGCGCAACGUGCGCUCGCGCAAGCCGCGAGCUGCCCGCACGCGCGCUGGCCACUGCGCCGCAGUGGAUGUCUCCGGUGGAGUGCGCCUACGUUCAGCAGCUGCUCGCCUCGUACGCCGACCUCCUGUGCGCUGAGAAGGGCAGUGCCUCUCCUCGCCCGUCGUCCACUGCGACAGAGAAGACAGAACCGGCCCCAGCGGCUGCGCUCUGCCCGCGCCUCUCUGUGAACACCCACUUCGCAAGGAAGCCGCCGCAAAGCUGCGGGUCGGCGGGCGCCUGCGGCGAUCGUCGGUACGGCCGAUAUUUGUGCCAGACGCAUGCGACUGCGGUCGCAUUGCAGCAGUGGUGCCAACGCGCGAACGCACAAGCGAAGCAUUUGGCAGAGAGCGACAUGAACACUCUACCGCUGGCUCUGCUGGAGGCGAGCCUUCGACGAGAUCUACAGGCAUUCCUGUUUCCUAAGGCAUUCGAGUUCUCUGCCGCGGCAGGGGCGGCACUGGCGGAGGUGUUGGAACACCAUGUGCAGGCCGUGUGCGCGCUCGCACAAGGUGCAGCCCUUCUCCCUGCUCUCUGUCAUUCCCCGAACGCGAGGAUGGAAGGCGAAGCGUCGCCACUUCGGGGUCUCGCCGGGCAUUAUGGGGAGUCGGUGCACGUGGACCUGGACAAGUUAGUCGACGUCAUCACCGCGGAUCCGCGGUACUUACAGCUGGAGGUACUGGUGCCUUUGGAGUCACGGCUGGCCGCCGUCGUGGACGCUGCUCGGCACCAUCCGCGGCGCCUCGUUGAGAAGGCCGUAGGGCUUAUUUCUGUGUUUGUGCAUGGCGCACGACUGAACGGCGGCUCAGAGCUGGCGGACGUGCUGGAGCUGCGGCGUGCGCUGUCCACGGUUUCCCCUUCGCUGGCGCGGCUCAUCACCGGGGCCACCAGCUUCUGCGAGGGCCGACUGCGCUUGGAGGAGUGCAUGGUCACGAUCUCUACCCACGUCCUAUCGGUGCCGCCGCCUUUGCCCGUGCCCGUUUUCCCAGCCUUUGCAGGCGGUGUUCUUCCAAGCGCGCCAGUGACCACGCACGACGACGCGGCGAUUGCUUUGCGCGAUCAUCCUUGCUACGCAAUGCUGCAGGACACGCGCUUGCUGAAGGCAUCGCAUGGCUGGCUGCGCUACGCGUGCCGACGGAUGCCACCCCGCGAGCAGCGCACUGUCAUUGAUGCGCUAAGGCUCAGUUGCGGUAGCAGCAGCCGAGGAGGGAGCUUAUUCGAAGCCGCCAGCGGCGGCUUCGGUGCAAUCCUCGAUACGAGGCUCGACAACAGGAAGCAGCAACGCUCUCUUUCCGCGUGCGACGUGUACAGCGCGAUGCUGCCACGGGUCAGGGCAAGCUGCUGGGUAUGCAGAAUGGACCCUGUCGUGGCGGCGCACGCCACCCUGGUCCUGAUCGCUGCCAGCGGCAGCGCCGACACCGCCGCUCUGACGGAGGAGUCUGUGUGGUGGGCGGGUGUUUACACUUUGCUGGGGCAGUGGGUCCACGCCCAGCAUAUCGGUCGCUGUCUUUUAGAGAGCACUGAUGCAUGGGCUAUGAAUGCCAUCACAUGUACUGCUGCGGAGCUGGGACUCUCGUGCUGCCGAGCUGUGAGUCAGGUACUUAGUCACCUACCCGUCGCAUCAUCAACCGCAUCGCGCGUGGUGGUGGUUGAGGAGGAGCUGACGCAGUCUCUGACUCGUGUCGUCGAGUCCCUCUCUCUGUGGGCGACUCCGCCGUCGGCGAAUCCAGAAUGGCAGUCGUCUUCCGCCGCGGCGUGUGCGCGGCUUGUCGACACGCUCGUUGGAUCGUGUCCUCGCCGCGAGUCAACGCUAGUGGAUGUCUCCGCGCUGCUUCGGCGGUGGCUGGAGGCGUACCCUUUGCCACUUCCAGUCACGCAUCUGUCGCUGUGCUGCGCGGUCGAGGAGGUCGGGUCUGUGUACUACACGCUAAAGCGGCUCGCCGCCUCAGAGGAGACUCAGCGUCGACGAAGCGAGACGCCGACAGGCGGGGCUGCGGCGCCGACCCGCGCCGUCAGCGAGGGACGCGCAACCGCAACUGCAGCGAGCAGACAAGCCUCAUCUGCACCCGUCGUGACCGGCAUCAGCCCGGUGUGCUUGUCGGAGCUUCUGGAGAACGAGGACCUUCUCCUCGCUCUGUAUGCCGUCAGCCCGCCAGAGGCAGUCGGUGUAUGGGGCGGUGCACUGCGCCGUCUCGGCGCCCUGCUUCGCCCGGUGUUGCUAAGCUCAACGGGCGUACGAGUGUCGCUGGACAAGCUCAGUGCGCGGUCGUCGGAGAGUGGAGGCGCUGUGGCGACGGCGGUGCCCAGCUCGACAUAUUUUCCACGACCUUCGAUGGCCACUUUGCACCGAAACGGCGGCCAAAGUUCCUUGGCAGACACGCUUCUGUCCAUGGCUGUGCCUGCGUCUCUGCAGCACGCCAUGGCUCAGCUCUUCGCCCGCGUCGACGUCGAGGGCACAGGCGCGGUGACCGAGGAUCAGCUGCGCAGUCACCGAUCGCGGGUGCCGGCCUCUGCCCGAUACGGAUGGCACCGCUUUGUGACCGCUUUGUGCAGCAGCACUGCCAUGACCUCAUCGCCAUCGUCGUCUUCUGGAACGGCGCCGUGCUCCUUGAUCUCUGGCGGUCUGUCAGCCGGAGUGCUUCGGUCGCAUCGGUGGAGCCGUCGACGCCGUGCCGCUGUAGCGACUCUGAGCUGCGCUGGCGAGGCUCAGCCGCAGGCAGAGCAGAUCUCAUGCUCGUCUGUCGCCACGCAGCACACGGAUGACGACGUGGCCACCACCUAUAGCCUCGGAGAUAUGCUGAUGCGCAUGGCGGAGCUGCGUGUCUGCGUUCAAGCGCAGCUCUUGGAAGAGAGCAGCACGCGGGCAAAGGCAGAGGCUAGCGUUUUUGUGGCCAGAAAAACGGGCCUUGCACUGACCAGGGCUAUCACGGAUGCUGACUCGCCCUUGUCGACGGCCGCUGGUCAGAAAGCGGCGGUCUCUUCGCCACCGACGGCGGGGACGGCGCAAUGGUGGGCAACGUACCUGGAGGAGCUCUGCCGAAGCUACUCUCCUCUGGCUCUGUAAUGCUGCGUCGUGCGUAGGUCAACGGAGUCGCUUUAGUCAGCGGCAAGCAGCAGCUAUCCACCCCCUUUCUAUUUUCAUUUCAAGCGUACCCUUGUCGUUUCUGCACCCUCCGUGCCUGUGCACACGCUGGUCAGCUGCCUCGCGCGCCGGAAGGGGGUCAAGGGUGAAGCUCAAUCAGCAGGCAAGCGAGUGGCGGCUGCCGCUGAUAUAGGGUAGAAGCGGCUGAAGCUGUCGAGCGUCUCACCGCAAAGGCGCUCGCGAUCGAAGUCUGCUUCUCUUUUUUGAAGGCUUGUCUCUCAAUGGGGGCAGCUCUGUCCUGGUUGCUGUGGUGAGUUAUAUGCUGCG
Molecule: unclassified non-coding RNA, 5350 nt
Filed under: Leishmania donovani
Lineage: Eukaryota; Euglenozoa; Kinetoplastea; Trypanosomatida; Trypanosomatidae
Description: gene:LdHU3.35.2630(CDS-product:hypothetical_prote in_conserved)
Source: RNAcentral